AUCGAUAAGACCCUCACAGAUUGUUCAAAAAAAAGAAAGAGGUUGUGUGUUAUGAAUUGUAGAAAGAAGGUUACAAAACGACUGCACUGAUGGAAGUAGCAUACAUGUGAUUUUUCCUUGCGGGUUACAUACCAGAUGACGCAUUGCUAAAUGACUCUGAGUACUGCGCUAAACAAUUACCUUAAAACUUUUCACCAGUUUUGUCACUCUUCCUUGCUGCCCCGUAUAUUGCUUACGCAGUUUCAAAAACAAUGUUACCUCUCUUUUAAUAAGCUUACUGACUCUUAAAGUAUCAAUAAUAAACUAAACAAUAAACGAAAUUUCACUUUGAUCAUUAUCAAACAUGAUAAAACAAAAUAUUUCUUCAAAAUUUUACUCUUCAAGGAAUUUGAAAAGCAAAUAAUUAUAAGGCUAGCAUCUUUUUGCAAUUAACUAUUAGCUGUUGAUGAUACACAAACAUUACAACAGAGACAAUCAAUAUUGCAAGGGUGAGCCCGUUUUUUACACGGUUAGCUAAUUGAAGCAUUACCGUAUUGAAAAUAGUAACAGCUAGUUCGAAUACUAAAAAAAUUUUUAGACCAGCCUUACUAUCUCGAGAAUUGCUGAUAUAUUGCAGCAAAUGAUCACAAAAGUAACAUAUAGCAAAUAGAACAUGGAAAGUACAGCGGAUCGUCAGAACAUUGAAGAUAAACAUUUCAUUAAUUCUUAAGAAUUA
This is a non-coding RNA of Schizosaccharomyces pombe (fission yeast), 715 nucleotides long. The record is from the annotation of a GenBank genome assembly. Lineage: Eukaryota; Fungi; Ascomycota; Schizosaccharomycetes; Schizosaccharomycetales; Schizosaccharomycetaceae.